This 450-nucleotide ribosomal RNA is filed under the name uncultured bacterium. RNAcentral describes it as "partial 16S ribosomal RNA". It matches the Rfam family "Bacterial small subunit ribosomal RNA", at positions 338 to 795 of the family's 1533-position model. The record is from RNAcentral.
CCUACGGGAGGCUGCAGUAAGGAAUAUUGGUCAAUGGACGAAAGUCUGAACCAGCCAUGCCGCGUGGAGGAUGAAGGUCCUCUGGAUUGUAAACUUCUUUUAUAUGGGACGAAAAAAGGCCUUUCUAGGCCGUCUGACGGUACCAUAUGAAUAAGCACCGGCUAACUCCGUGCCAGCAGCCGCGGUAAUACGGAGGGUGCAAGCGUCAUCCGGAUUCACUGGUUCGAAGGGGGGCGUAUGUGGCAUGAUAGCAAUCUCCGAGCUUAACUUGGAAACUGCCAUUGAUACUAUUAAUCUUGAAUAUUGUGGAGGUUAGCGGAAUAUGUCAUGUAGCGGUGAAAUGCUUAGAUAUGACAUAGAACACCAAUUGCGAAGGCAGCUGGCUACACAUAUAUUGACACUGAGGCACGAAAGCGUGGGGAUCAAACAGGAUUAGAUACCCCAGUAGUC